AUCACUGGGCGUAAAGGGAGCGUAGGUGGCCUGACAUGUCRACUGUGAAAACCCGGAGCUCAACUCCGRACYUGCAGUUGAAACUGCCAGGCUUGAGGACGGUAGAGGAAGACGGAACUGCCARUGUAGGGGUAAARUCCUUAGAUAUUGGCAGGARCGCCGGUGACGAAGGUGGUYUUCUGGGCCGGUUCUGACACUGAUGCUCGAAAGCCRGGGGAGCGAACGGGAUUAGAUACCCCGGUAGUCCUGGCCCUARACGRUGUUCACUAGGUGUGGGGAGCGGAAAGCUUUCCGUGCUAAAGCUAACGCGAUAAGUGAACCGCCUGGGGAGUACGCCCGCAAGGGUGARACUCAAAGGARUUGWYGGGGGCCCGCACAAGCGGUGGAGCGUGUGGUUUAAUUCGAUGCUAAGCGAAGGACCUUACCAAGGUUUGACAUGCUGAUAGUAGUGAAUUGAAAGAGGAACGACCAC
RNAcentral lists this ribosomal RNA (472 nucleotides) under uncultured Thermotogales bacterium. RNAcentral's name for it is "partial 16S ribosomal RNA". It matches the Rfam family "Bacterial small subunit ribosomal RNA", at positions 550 to 1019 of the family's 1533-position model. The record is from RNAcentral. Lineage: Bacteria; Thermotogati; Thermotogota; Thermotogae; Thermotogales.